RNAcentral lists this unclassified non-coding RNA (201 nucleotides) under plant metagenome. Its description in RNAcentral is "partial contains small subunit ribosomal RNA, internal transcribed spacer 1, and 5.8S ribosomal RNA". The record is from RNAcentral.
UCUCCGUUGGUGAACCAGCGGAGGGAUCAUUAUCGAGUUUAUAACUCCCAAACCCUAUGUGAACUUACCACUUGUUGCUUCGGCGCGCGCUUCGGUGCCGCCGAGGACACUUAAACUCUUUGUUUUUAUAAGCAUUUCUGAGUGGCCGAAAGGCAAAAUACAAAUGAAUCAAAACUUUCAACAACGGAUCUCUCGGUUCUG